Molecule: ribosomal RNA, 469 nt
Filed under: Mycodrosophila basalis
Lineage: Eukaryota; Metazoa; Arthropoda; Insecta; Diptera; Drosophilidae
Description: partial 28S ribosomal RNA
Rfam family: Eukaryotic large subunit ribosomal RNA
Source: RNAcentral
UUCGUGUGAACAGUGGUUGAUCACGAGUUAGUCGGUCCUAAGUUCAAGGCGAAAGCCGAAAAUUUUCAAGUAAAGAAAAAUCAAUUAUUAUAUAUGCCAAAUUAACAGAUUUUUAAACACUUGAAUAAUUUUGAACGAAAGGGAAUACGGUUCCAAUUCCGUAACCUGUUGAGUAUCCGUUUGUUAUUAAAUAUGGGCCUCGUGCUCAUCCUGGCAACAGGAACGACCAUAAAGAAGCCGUCGAGAGGUAUCGGAAGAGUUUUCUUUUCUGUUUUAUAGCCGUACUACCAUGGAAGUCUUUCGCAGAGAGAUAUGGUAGAUGGGCUAGAAGAGCAUGACAUAUACUGUUGUGUCGAUAUUUUCUCCUCGGACCUUGAAAAUUUAUGGUGGGGAUACGCAAACUUCUCAACAGGCCGUACCAAUAUCCGCAGCUGGUCUCCAAGGUGAAGAGUCUCUAGUCGAUAAAAUA